CUAGAAGCAGGAAGUGAUGUGUUAGAAAAGCUAACACGGUUGUCUUGUUGGAAAGAGUCAGUGGCCGUGAUCAAAAGAACUGGGAACUCUGAAAAAAUUCUAAAUUCAAUCAUGACUCCAGUGAUCUUCAGGUUGGAAGUGGCCUUUACAUUUCACUUGGCAAGAGCCCAAAUCUAUGACCAGGCUACAGACACAUAGGUUUAUGUGGGUCUCUCGGCUAUGCCCCCCUCGGCCAUCAUCACUCCGGAACAUGUCCGUCCCUCCCGGAUCCAUGACCUCAACGUUGGACAGCGGCCAACUGUUUGAGUUCCUCGCUCGUCCUCGACCUGCGGGCGGCGCUGUUCGUUCAGUACAUCGACAUCUAAAUGAACGUGUGGUGGUGCCUUUACAAUCAUCCCGCAGCCUCCAAGUCUCUGACCCCCCUGCCCCUGUAGAAGACACCUGCUGCUGGCUGAGGAACAUACAGGUCAGGAGGCUCCCAGCCAGACCCCCCUGCCCCUGUAGAAGACACCUGCUGCUGGCUGAGGAACACACAGGUCAGGAGGCUACCAGCCAGACCCCCCUGGCCCUGUAGAAGACACCUGCUGCUGGCUGAGGAGGAACACACUGGUCAUGAGGCUUCCAGCCAGACCCCCCUGCCCCUGUAGAAGACACCUGCUGCUGCCUGAGGAACACACAAGUCAGGAGGCUCCCAGCCAGACCCCCCUGCCCCUGUAGAAGACACCUGCUGCUGCCUGAGGAAGAACACACAGGUCAUGAGACUCCCAGCCAGACCCCCUGCCCCUGUAGAAGACACCUGCUGCUGGCUGAGGAACAUACAGGUCAGGAGGCUCCCAGCCAGACCCCCCUGCCCCUGUAGAAGACACCUGCUGCUGCCUGAGGAACACACAAGUCAGGAGGCUCCCAGACAGACCCCCCUGCCCCUGUAGAAGACACCUGCUGCUGCCUGAGGAACACACAGGUCAGGAGGCUCCCAGCCAGACCCCCCUGCCCCUGUAGAAGACACCUGCUGCUGCCUGAGGAACACACAGGUCAGGAGGCUCCCAGCCAGACCACCCUGCCCUGUAGAAGACACCUGUUGCUGCCUGAGGAACACACAAGUCAGGAGGCUCCCAGCCAGACCACCCUGCCCCUGUAGAAGACACCUGUUGCUGCCUGAGGAACACACAAGUCAGGAGGCUCCCAGCCAGACCCCCCUGCCCCUGUAGAAGACACCUGCUGCUGCCUGAGGAACACACAGGUCAGGAGGCUCCCAGCCAGACCACCCUGCCCCUGUAUAAGACACCUGUUGCUGCCUGAGGAACACACAAGUCAGGAGGCUCCCAGCCAGACCCCCCUGCCCCUGUAGAAGACACCUGUUGCUGCCUGAGGAACACACAAGUCAGGAGGCUCCCAGCCAGACCACCCUGCCCCUGUAGAAGACACCUUCUGCUGCCUGAGGAACACACCGGUCAGGAGGCUCCCAGCCAGACCCCCCUGCCCCUGUAGAAGACACCUGCUGCUGGCUGAGGAGGAACACACAGGUCAUGAGACUCCCAGCCAGACCACCCUGCCCCUGUAGAAGACACCUGUUGCUGCUUGAGGAAGACACAGAGUCUCCAUUUGAGGGGGGCUACCAACUGUACCCACCCCUGCCAUCCAACCAGCUGCAUUUGAUCCCCCCGGCCACCUGGAGUGUGGCCAACCAAUGACCUUCCCACAAUUUACCUGUGGAUUCAAGAGAAACUCCCCAGUCUGGCCCGGGAAAAAAAGAGUUGUUGUUCCAGCACUCCGCCACCAGAUGGGGCAGUCAUAUUAAGAACCUAUGUUUGGAGAAGGGAAGAAGGACUUGAUGAUGCCAUUGCCAAUGGUUGAAGUUAACUUGACCUAGAUUGGGGUGAGAGUGGAGGAUGAGCUGGAAAGAAGGAGAGGAGAGCGGAAUGAGCGGUGUUGUACUUACCCAGUUUAUUACUGGGUGAUAUUAUUUUGAGAGUGGGACAGAGCUUGGUCAGUGUUUUUCACUCGUGCUUUUUAAAAAUGUACUUUUUAAAAAUCUCAGUAUUUCUGUACAUGUUGUUUUUUGAUCGUCAGUAUCCUUCCCCCUUGACAACAUAUAGAGAAUUGAUCCACUGAUGUUACCUGCAUGAUCAGAGGGCUCCCAUUAGACCGGUCCUUAUAUACGUUGACUGGCAACAGGUGUUUUUAGUCCCCCCCCCCCAUUGUGGAACAGUCUCUGUACAGCAGAUAUUGUAGCUAAUAACUCACGAGAGAUGGACUUACAUGCAGAACCGUUCCUCCAAAAACCAAAGAGUAGGUUAACCCAUAGAGGUCUCAGUUAACCCACAGUUUUACUCCUUGAUGUUUAAUAAACCACAUUCUACCCUCAAAGGGCAAUAUGACCCUGUUGAUAAAGACUAUUUUGGAGGAGAGUUUCAGCCUGGCUUUGAACGGGCCAAAGCUGAAUUCAUUUGAGUUAUUAUGACCAUGUGGGAUGUAAUGAGCUCAGUCCUCUUGCUUAAGAGCAGGGAAUAGAUGUGUGCGAAUACAAAGCCAAAUUGUUUAUUAAACAACAUUUGGGUUCUAAGAUGUUGAGAAAAGUGGCAUUGAAGAGUCUGCCUCACCUAAACCUGUGAAAAAUGUAUUUUCUACCACAAUAUCCUAACCUAACCCCAAUUCAGCAGGGGUCUACAGCCACAGGAAAUAACAUACCUGUAAAUAUACACACACUCUACUCUUGAGGAGGGCUGGAUGUAGGGCAUCUUCAACCUGAAAAACAAACACAAUCACGCUUAGGUUCUACAACACA
Oncorhynchus gorbuscha (pink salmon) is the source of this 2785-nucleotide long non-coding RNA. RefSeq lists it as uncharacterized. Lineage: Eukaryota; Metazoa; Chordata; Actinopteri; Salmoniformes; Salmonidae. The transcript is spliced from 4 exons. The record is from RefSeq and is a predicted model, not a curated record.